CUCGGGGGAUAAGAACUCAGACUACAAGAAGCGAGUUUCUGUGGAGCUCACACACUCUCUGUUCAAACACGACCCCGCUGCCUGGGAGAUGGCCCACAACAGUGUCCCCAUGGAUGGACCCUAUCCAGAUGAAAUCUCUUUCCAGCUCCUCGUUUUCCUUCAUCAAAUAGUUUUUCCUGCAGCUCUUUCUUUGCACCAUCAACAAUUUUUUGGUGGAUCAAUCAAUUUCUGACCCAUUUUUCUGUUUUUGCAAUUCUUUAGUUCGUCUCACACUUUUUUUUUUUUUUACCUAAUCCAGUAAAGAGUUAAUUCACUGCAGUAGUAAAUACUGAGCCUAGUAUGAUGUUUUCCCUUUUUACAUACUGAGAAAUUAGAUUUAUCUGAGGCCUUGCACACAGUCAAAGGCCUUUUGUUAGACAUGUUAUUUAAUAA
Molecule: long non-coding RNA, 432 nt
Organism: Thunnus maccoyii (southern bluefin tuna)
Lineage: Eukaryota; Metazoa; Chordata; Actinopteri; Scombriformes; Scombridae
Exons: 3
Source: RefSeq, a predicted model, not a curated record